CAGGAUGGAUGUGUCUCUUCGGAGACGGUAUGACAGGUGCUGCAUGGCCGUCGUCAGCUCGUGCCGUGAGGUGUUGGGUUAAGUCCGCAACGAGCGCAACCCCUAUCUUUAGUUGCCAUCAGUCCGGCUGGGCACUCUAUGGAGACUGCCACCUAAAGUGGAGGAAGGUGGGGAUGACGUCAAGUCAGCAUGGCCCUUACGUCCGGGGCUACACACGUGCUACAAUGGCCGGUACAAAGGGUUGCGAAGCCGUGAGGUGGAGCGAAUCCCAAAAAGCCGGCCUCAGUUCGGAUUGGAGGCUGCAACUCGCCUCCAUGAAGUCGGAAUCGCUAGUAACCGCAGAUCAGCUACGUUGCGGUGAAUACGUUCCCGGGCCUU
RNAcentral lists this ribosomal RNA (378 nucleotides) under uncultured Candidatus Sumerlaeota bacterium. Its description in RNAcentral is "bacterial SSU rRNA". It matches the Rfam family "Bacterial small subunit ribosomal RNA", at positions 1001 to 1382 of the family's 1533-position model. The record is from RNAcentral. Lineage: Bacteria; Candidatus Sumerlaeota.